RNAcentral lists this ribosomal RNA (533 nucleotides) under uncultured bacterium. RNAcentral's name for it is "bacterial SSU rRNA". It matches the Rfam family "Bacterial small subunit ribosomal RNA", at positions 540 to 1074 of the family's 1533-position model. The record is from RNAcentral.
CGGCCGCGUCGACAUUGGGCGUAAAGCGAGCGCAGGCGGUUUGAUAAGUCUGAAGUUAAAGGCUGUGGCUCAACCAUAGUUCGCUUUGGAAACUGUCAAACUUGAGUGCAGAAGGGGAGAGUGGAAUUCCAUGUGUAGCGGUGAAAUGCGUAGAUAUAUGGAGGAACACCGGUGGCGAAAGCGGCUCUCUGGUCUGUAACUGACGCUGAGGCUCGAAAGCGUGGGGAGCGAACAGGAUUAGAUACCCUGGUAGUCCAUGCCGUAAACGUUGGGCGCUAGGUGUGGGACUCAUUCCACGAGCUCCGUGCCGCAGCUAACGCAUUAAGCGCCCCGCCUGGGGAGUACGGCCGCAAGGCUAAAACUCAAAGGAAUUGACGGGGGCCCGCACAAGCGGCGGAGCAUGCGGAUUAAUUCGAUGCAACGCGAAGAACCUUACCAAGGCUUGACAUAUACCGGAAACUUCCAGAGAUGGUUGCCCCCUUUGGGUCGGUAUCAGGUGGUGCAUGGUUGUCGUCAGCUCGUGUCGUGAGUAG